ACCACGACCUUCGGGCGCUUAUUUUCGUUCGCGGCUUUGCCCGCGCCUUAUUUUUGGCACCCCGAGGCCCCUCGCAAAGUCUCGCCCCAUUCCGAGUCCGGCGGACGAACUUCGCCCUCGCCCCCCACCAAGGCUAUAGCCCACCCGUUUUUUGGCCAUUUUUCCGCUGGGAGUUUUGGCGCCACGACCUUCGGGCGCUUAUUUUUGGGUGCGGCUUUGCCCGCGGCUUAUUUUUGAUGCUCCCAGGCCCCUCGAAAAGUCUCGCCCCAUUCCGAGUCCGGUGGACGAACUUCGCCCGCGCCCCCCACCAAGGCUAUAGCCCACCCGUUUUUUGGCCAUUUUUCCGCUGGGGGGUUUUGGCACCACGACCUUUGGGCGCUUAUUUUUGGGCGCGGCUUUGCCCGCGGCUUAUUUUUGCCACCCCGAGGCCCCUCGCAAAGUCUCGCCCCAUUCCGAGUCCGGCGGACGAAGUUCGCCCGCGCCCCCCACCAAGGCUGUAGCCCACCCGUUUUUUGGCCAUUUUUCCGCUGGGGGUUUUGGCACCACGACCUUCGGGCGCUUAUUUCUGGACGCGGCUGUGCCCGCGACUUCCCGCGGGCACCCCGAGGCUCCUCACAAAGUCUCGCCCGAUUCCGAGUCCGGCGGACGAACUUCGCCCGCGCCCCCCACCAAGGCUAUAGCCCACCCGUUUUUUGGCCAUUUUUCCGCUGGGGGGUUUUGGCACCACGACCUUUGGGCGCUUAUUUUUGGGCGCGGCUUUGCCCGCGGCUUAUUUUUUGUACCCCGAGGGCCCUCGCAAAGUCUCGCCCCAUUCCGAGUCCGGCGGACGAACUUCGCCCGCGCCCCCCACCAAGGCUAUAGCCCACCCGUUUUUUGGCCAUUUUUCCGCUGGGGGGUUUUGGCACCACAACCUUCGGGCGCUUAUUUUUGGACGCGGCUGUGCCCGCAACUUCCCGCGGGCACCCCGAGUCCCCUCGCAAAGUCUCGCCCCAUUCCGAGUCCGGCGGACGAACUUCGCCCGCGUCCCCCACCAAGGCUAUAGCCCACCCGUUUUUUGGCNNNNNNNNNNNNNNNNNNNNNNNNNNNNNNNNNNNNNNNNNNNNNNNNNNNNNNNNNNNNNNNNNNNNNNNNNNNNNNNNNNNNNNNNNNNNNNNNNNNNGGGGGUUUUCGCACCACGACCUUCGGGCGCUUAUUUUUGGGGGCGGCUUUGCCCGCGGCUUAUUUUUGGCACCCCGAGGCCCCUAGCAAAGUCUCGCCCCAUUCCGAGUCCGGCGGACAAACUUCGCCCGCGCCCCCCACCAAGGCUAUAGCCCACCCGUUUUUUGGCCAUUUUUCGGCUGGGGGGUUUUGGCACCACGACCUUCGGGCGCUUAUUUUUGGGCGAGGCUUUGCCCGCGGCUUAUUUUUGGCACCCCGAGGCCCCUCGCAAAGUCUCGCCCCAUUCCGAGUCCGGCGGACGAACUUCGCCCGCGCCCCCCACCAAGGCUAUAGCCCACCCGUUUUUUGGCAAUUUUUCCGCUGGGGGGUUUUGGCACCACGACCUUCGGGCGCUUAUUUUUAGACGCGGCUGUGCCCGCGACUUCCCGCGGGCACCCCGAGGCCCCUCGCAAAGUCUCGCCCCAUUCUGAGUCCGGCGUACGAACUUCGCCCGCGCCCCCCACCAAGGUUAUAGCCCACCCGUUUUUUGGCCAUUUUUCCGCUGGGGGGUUUUGGCACCACGACCUUCGGGCGCUUAUUUUUGGGCCCGGCUUUGCCCGCGGCUUAUUUUUGGUGCCCCGAGGCCCCGCGCAAAGUCUCGCCCCAUUCCGAGUCCGGCGGACGAACUUCGCCCGCACCCCCCACCAAAGCUAUAGCCCACCCGUUUUUUGGCCAUUUUUCCGCUGGGGGGUUUUGGCACCACGACCUUCGGGCGCUUAUUUUUGGGCGCGGCCUUGCCCGCGGCUAUUUUUGGCACCCCGAGGCCCCUCGCAAAGUCUCGCCCCAUUCCGAGUCUGGCGGACGAACUUCUCCCGCGCCCCCCACCAAGGCUAUAGCCCACCCGUUUUUUGGCCAUUUUUCCGCUGGGGGUUUUGGCAACACGACCUUCGGGCGCUUAUUUUUGGACGUGGCUGUGCCCGCGACUUCCCGCGGGCACCACGAGGCCCCUCGCAAAGUCUCGCCCCAUUCCGAGUCCGGCGGAUGAACUUCGCCCGCGCCCCCCACCAAGGCUAUAGCCCACCCGUUUUUUGGCCAUUUUUCCGCUGGGGGGUUUUGGCACCACGACCUUCGGGCGCUUAUUUUUGGACGCGGCUGUGCCCAUGACUUCCCGCGGGCACCCCGAGGCCCCUCACAAAGUCUCGCCCCAUUCCGAGUCCGGCGGACGAACUUCGCCCGCGCCCCCCACCAAGGCUAUAGCCCACCCGUUUUUUGGCCAUUUUUCCACUGGGGGGUUUUGGCACCACGACCUUUGGGCGCUUAUUUUUGGGCGCGGCUUUGACCGCGGCUUAUUUUUGGUACCCCGAGGCCCCUCACAAAGUCUCGCCCCAUUCCGAGUCCGGCGGACGAACUUCGCCCGCGCCCCCCACCAAGGCUAUAGCCCACCCGUUUUUUGGCCAUUUUUCCGCUGGGGGGUUUUCGCACCACGACCUUCGGGCGCUUAUUUUUGGGCGCGGCUUUGCCCGCGGCUUAUUUUUGGUACCCCGAGGCCCCUCGCAAAGUCUCGCCCCAUUCCGAGUCCGGCGGACGAACUUCGCCCGCGCCCCCCACCAAGGCUAUAGCCCACCCGUUUUUUGGCCAUUUUUCCACUGGGGGGUUUUGGCACCACGACCUUUGGGCGCUUAUUUUUGGGCGCGGCUUUGCCCGCGGCUUAUUUUUGGUACCCCGAGGCCCCUCACAAAGUCUCGCCCCAUUCCGAGUCCGGCGGACGAACUUCGCCCGCGCCCCCCACCAAGGCUAUAGCCCACCCGUUUUUUGGCCAUUUUUCCGCUGGGGGGUUUUCGCACCACGACCUUCGGGCGCUUAUUUUUGGGGGCGGCUUUGCCCGCGGCUUAUUUUUGGCACCCCGAGGCCCCUAGCAAAGUCUCGCCCCAUUCCGAGUCCGGCGGACAAACUUCGCCCGCGCCCCCCACCAN
RNAcentral lists this long non-coding RNA (3110 nucleotides) under Citrus x clementina. RNAcentral's name for it is "Citrus clementina (C. clementina) long non-coding RNA (CCLE_LNC000049)". Lineage: Eukaryota; Viridiplantae; Streptophyta; Magnoliopsida; Sapindales; Rutaceae. The record is from RNAcentral.